This 15394-nucleotide long non-coding RNA is filed under the name Lactuca sativa (garden lettuce). Its description in RNAcentral is "long non-coding RNA (LSAT_LNC007379)". Lineage: Eukaryota; Viridiplantae; Streptophyta; Magnoliopsida; Asterales; Asteraceae. The record is from RNAcentral.
AAACUUGUAAAAUGUAAUCGACAUUUGAUGAUGAAUAAAAUUUGUGAUUUAUUUAUGAGUAAAGUGUUACUAUCAUUGUCAAUUAUUUACUAUUGUUUCAGUUUUGCAUGUUUUGACUUCCAGAAUAAUUAAUUUAUUCAAACCUCCACAAUCGGUCAUACGUCGGAAGUAGGUAUGAAUCAAGAUUGUCAUGAAUUGGGUUUGUAGAUGGCUAAAGGUGUUUAGACAUGGCAAUGGUUGCUGCAACGUUCAUGAGUGCUCAUAAGUUAUGAGUAUUGGUAUAAACCCACGCUCACUUGUAUCAGUUCAUGGAAUUUAUCUCGAGUGAUCAUGAGACGAUAAUAUCAUAUAAGUCUUCAAACCUAGAGAUAUGAGUUGUUACCUAUGAGUUGGUUGUGCAUUGAUUGCACGUAAACGCAUCAGUAACUUGAUGUUAUAAAACGUGCCUUUGUGUACAAUUCAACAAGUAGUAGAACAAGCAUAUGAGUCGAAGUUUAUCUGUUCCUUCUAGAAAUAGAAGCGAUAUCUGGGCCCCUCGAUGAUUUUUUUGUGACCUAUGUACCGGCCGGUCAGAACUAAAUUGAUGUGUUCGAUUAAGUUCUUUGUCAAACAAAUCGAAAAUCGGGAAACAAACUGCUGGACAAUAAGUACGACGUUGUUCCAUGUAUUUGUCCGGCUGAUAUCAUGAGAACAGAGGAUUAUAUGAUCACUUGUCUUAAAAUGGCGCUUCAUAGUUCAACAGAGUUUUCGAGAGCUACGAUUGCUGGUUGGUUCCUGAAGUAACAUACGCAAAUAUAGUUAUUAGACUUAUCCAAGUGGGAGUCUGUUGGAUAAGGUGUCUAAGUCCAUAACUUAUUUGGUAUAUACUUGACCCGACCCGGCAUGGUCCAUUUGGGUUGCACUUCACCCGAACUAUUUAUGGAUAAUUUUAUGAGAGUUAUACACAUAUGUUUAUUAAUAUAUUAUAAGUUAUAAUAUAUUAAUAUGAAGUCAUGUUAUUUAAUUAGUCUUAGUCUUAAAUUAAUUAUGAAUUAAUUUAGAGAUUAAAAGGAAGACUAAUUAGAUUAUGGGCUAUUGGUUUUAUAUGGUGUGGGCUAACACUCAUUUGUUAAUGGGCUAGGCUUAUAUGGAAGUCCAUGGAUGAUCCAUGGAGCUUUUAACCCAUGGAUCCUUGGAAAAGGAAAGGUCAUGGGUUAUUAGGGUUUCACCCUAACCAUGUACACUAUAUAAGCAUGCUUAUGUUGCAUGAAAUAGCCACUAGUGUGUGUGCUUGUGUGUGGCCGAAAAUUACAAGUGUGUGUACACUCUCUAAAGGUUUCCAAGUGUUUGUGGUGAUUUGUGAUUUCCAUUUGAGGCAUUCACACUAUUGGUGCUUGGCUCUCAAACUCCAAGGAAUCAAUCUCAUCAAAAGGUAUGUAAUCUCAUCUAACUCUUUUAUGUUUAAAAGUACCCCAUGCCAUGUUAGAUAGGUUAUGAACCUUGGAAAAUUAUUAUUUUGCAUGUAUUAGACAAACAUAGAUCCAAGGUUUAUUAGGGUUGCAUGCACACUUAGGAAGUGUUAGAUUGCUCAAAACCCAACAAAAACACCUCACGAGAUGUGGACUAAAAAGUUCCCAAUACAGAUCACAUCAAGAUUUAGGGUUGCGAGGCUUUUGUGAGGCGCGAGACUCACGAUAAGCUCGAACCUCAAAGUGAGAGGUGUAUUCUCAUCGGCUACUCACAUAAAUCCUUUGGUUACCUCUUCUACAUACCCAAUGAUAAUGUGGUCUUUGUAGCAAGGAGAGGAGUCUUUUGUGAGAGAGAGUUCAUAAGCCAAGGAAACAGUGGGAGGCAAAUUGAUCCUGAAGAAAUUCAAGAGUCAAGCGGUGAAGGAACUUCAAACUCUNCUCAAACCCUAGAAAUCAAUCUGAGGAGAAAACUCCUGUUGAUCCGACCAAUGAGUUUGUACCUAUGAGGCGUUCCACGAGAGUUAGGAAUGCACCUGAGCAUUACUAUGUUUUCCAUAUGACUAUAGAAGGUGAUACACUUAUCAGCGAUAAUACACUGGUAAGUAUGGAUGAACCUAACAGCUACACAGAAGCCAUGGCAGGCCCUGAUGCUGAUAAAUGGAAAGAGGCUAUGGAAAGCGAGAUUCAAUCCAUGUAUGAUAAUCAAGUUUGGAACUUGGUUGACAAUGUACCUGGUNAAGACCGUCGGGUGCAAAUGGAUCUUCAAGAAGAAGACCGACAUGGAUGGUAAUAUACACACUUAUAAGGCACGAUUGGUUGCAAAGGGCUUUUCUCAAACUGCUGGAGUUGAUUAUCAUGAGACCUUUUCACCAGUAGCGAAGAUUAAGUCUAUCAGGAUUAUGUUAGCCAUUGCUGCAUUUCAUGACCAUGACAUAUGGCAAAUGGAUGUCAAAACCGCUUUCCUUAAUAGAAAGUUGGCUGAGGAUGUUUACAUGAGUCAACCAGAGGGUUUUGUCAGUGCAGAGUACCAUAAUAGAGUGUGUAAGCUUGAGAAAUCCAUCUAUGGAUUAAAACAAGCACCUCGUAGAUGGAAUCUUUGUUUCGAUGAGAAAGUCAAAGAGUUUGGCUUUUCGAGGAGCAAAUAUCAAUCUUGUGUAUAUGUCAAGGCUAGUGGGAGUAUAGUUAUCUUUUUGGUAUUGUAUGUGGAUGACAUACUACUCAUAGGAAAUGACAUCCUAACUCCGCAGGAAGUGAAGUCCUGGCUUGGGAAGUGUUUCUCUAUGAAGGACCUUGGAGAAGCUGCCUAUAUCCUAGGGAUAAUAAUUUUUAGAGACAUGAGUAAAAGACUAAUUGGACCUAGUCAGAGCACCUAUGUGGAUAAAGUGUUGAAAAGGUUCAACAUGCAGAACUCCAAGAAAGGUGAGUUACCAAUCCAGAGUAAUGCCAGAUUGAGUAAGACUCAGAUCUCGAGUACAGAGGUUGAGAUAGCAGAGAUGACUCGAGUUCCGUAUGCUUCCACUGUAGGCUCGAUCAUGUAUGCUAUGACUUGUACUCAUUCGGAUGUGGCCUUUGCAUUAAGCAUGGUCAGUAGAUAUCAAGGGAAUCCUAGCAAGGAUCACUGGACUGUGUUAAAGAACAUUCUCAAGUACCUGCGGAGGACUAAGGACUAGGUCCUUACCCUCGGUGGGAGUGAUGACUUGAGAGUUGUAGGGUAUAGUGAUUCUAGCUUCCAGACUGAUAGGGAUAAUUUCCGCUCUCAUUCAGGCUUGGUCUUUACGUUAAACGGAGGAGCAAUUACUUGGAAAAGUUCCAAGAAAAAGACAGUGGUUGAUUCAACUUGCGAAUCCGAGUACAUAGCGACAAGCGAGGCAGCAAAGGAGGAUAUAUGGCUAAAGAACUUCAUUGGAGACCUUGGAGUUGUACCAGCUAUAAAGGAGCCUAUAGAGAUUUUCUGUGAUAGUGAAAGUGCAGUUGCCCUAACCAAGGAACCAAGGGAUCACGGGAGAUCCAGACACAUCAACAGAAAAUGCCAUUUCAUCAGACAUCGAAUAGAAGAAAGACUCCUCAUGGCAAAGAGGGUAUCAUUGGAUGAGAACCCAGCAAAUCCCUUCACAAAGGUACUGGCUAGGGUUAAGCAUCUCCAGCAUGCGAGGCGCAUAGGGCUGAAGGAUGAUAUUAGUUUUAGUAAUUGUAUAGUUUCUGAAAUGUGUAAAGUGUAAUUGACAUUUGAUGAUGAAUAAAAGUUGUUGUUGAUUUAUGAGUAAAGUGUUGCUAUCUUUUAUCAAUCGUUUAAUAUCGUUUCAUUUUGCAUGUUUUGACUUCCAGAAUAAUUAUGUUAUACCAUUUCAUAUUAUUCAAAUUCUCCACAGUCGAUCAUAUGUUGGAAGUAGAUAUGAAUCAAGAUGAUCAUGAAGUUGGUUGUAGAUAUAUAAGAUGUUGGACAUAGCAAAUUGUUGCUACAACACUCAUGAGUGCUCAUAAGUUCUAAGUAUUGGAUUCAACCUACGCUCGCUUGUAUCACUUCAUGGAAUUUAUCUUGAGUUAUCGUGAGACGGUAAUAUCAGAUAAGUCUUCAAACCUAGAGAUAUGAGUUGUUGCCUAUGAUUUGGUUAUAUAUUGAUUGUACAAAAACACAUUGGUAACUCGAUGUUAUAAAACAUGCCUUUGUGUAUGAUUCAACAAGUAGUAGAACAAGCAUAUGAGUCGAAGUUUAUUUAUUCCUUCUUGAAUUAGAAGCGAUAUCUGGGCCCCUCGAUGAUUUCGUGUUGACCCAUGUACCAGGCCCGAUUAGAACUAAGUUGAAGUGUUCAAUUAAGUUCUAUGUCAAACAAAUCGGAAAUCGAGAAACAAACUGUUGGACAAUAAGUAAGACAUUGUUCCAUGUAUUUGUCCGUCUGAUAUCUAGAACAGAGGACUAUAUGAUCCCUUAUCUAAAAUGGUGCUUCAUAGUUCCACAGAGUUUUAAGAGCUACGAUUGCCGGUCGGUUCCUGAAGUCAUAAUUGCAACUAUAGUUAAUAGACUUAUCCAAGGGAGAGACUGUUGGAUAAGGUGUCUAAGUCCAUAACUAUAUUUGAGAUGUACUUGACCCGACCCGACAUGCUUCACUUGGGUUGCAUUUCACCCGAGCAAUUUAUAUGGAUAAUCUUUUGAGAAUAGUAUAAGUUAUGAUUUAUUAAUAUAUUAUAAGUUCUAAUAUAUUAAUAAGAAAUCAUAUUAUUUAAUUAGUAUUGAUCUAAAAUUAAUUUAGAAUAAAUUUAGUGAACAAAAGUGUGACUAAUUAAAUAUGGACUCUUGUAUUUAUAUAAUGUGGGCUUAAUGCUUAUUUAGAAUGGGCUAGGCUUGCAUGGUAAGUCCAUGGAUAGUCCAUGGAGCUUUAACCCAUGGAUCUCAUGGAAAUGAAAGGUCAUGGGUAUUAGGGUUUACAUGGAUGUAACCCUAAUCCACAACAUUAUAUAAAGGAGUCCUUGGCACUUGAAAUGGCACUAGUUUUUGUGUGAGAACAAGGGUGGGCUGAUUUCAAGAAGAGUUCUACUAUUAUCUCAAGUUUCCAAGGUUUUGUGGUGAUUUGUGAAUUCCAUUUGAGGCAUCCACAUGAUUGGUGUAAGGCUCUCAAACUCCAAGCAAUCAACCACUACUAAAAGGUAUGUAACUCUACUAGUUUAUUAUGUUUCAAAGUUCCCCAUGCCAUGCUCGUUAGGUUAAGAACCUUGGAAAAGAAAAUUUACAUGUAUCAUAGUAAAACAUAGAUCCAAGGUUUCUAGGGUUGCAUGUGCACCAUAGGAGUGUUAGAAUGCUCAAAACCCUUCACCUUAAGUUUCAAUUAGAGUUUUUUGAGAAUAAGGACAGAUGAAACCUGAUCAUCUGCAAGUUUUUCCUUAAGCUUCAUAAGCUUUUCAAGCAUAGAAUUUGUUGAGGAUAAAUCUCAACUUAGAAAAGAAAUUAGGAUGGUUGUUGACUUCUAAAGAUAAGAUUCUUCAUUCACGAGGAUCUAUAGCGAUAAGGAUCCUUAAUGAUGAGAAUCCUUAGUGAUGAUAUCAUACGGGGGAAUUCCCUUCUUAGGAGAAUCUAUUUAGGUUAUAGACUUUGACAAUAUUCUUUGGUAAUAUCCUAAAUGCAACAUGUUAAUGUUAUAUACUGGGGAGGAUCCCAAUUUGUGACGUAUCUCAAGGGAAAUAUCCAUACUUAUGAAAAUGUUAUGAUUCAUGUCAAUGUGUGACAACAUGAAGAUGUCAUAACCUUAUGUAAUUUCUGGGGUAAUAUCCCAACUUUUGAUAACAUGAAAAUGUCAUAAGCCUUAAGUAAUCAUCAGGGUAGGAUCCCAAUUUUUGGAUAACAUGAAAAUGUUAUAAACGUUAAGGAUCUUAACUUAUGUUGAAAGAUAAGAGGGUUGCCAAGCCACUACAUCAUGAAAUGAUCUCCUUAAUGGUAUCCCAUAGAUAGAUAUCAUGCGUUCAAGUGAGGCGUAUAAACCUUAGUUCGCAUGAAAGAGGUGAUUAACUCCUUAAACCUUAGAGGGGAUUAAGUACCCUUAAGCAUAUGAUAGAUUAUCAAUCUCUAGCUUGUGUAUAUAAUCGUUUAAAGAUCAUACCGUUGAUAUAAUGGAAUUGUUCAAGUCUUAGUAUGUUGAGAUCUUUGUUUGUUAAGAUCCUUAUGUUUCAAGAUCUUCAACCUCGAGGAAUCUUUAUGUUUCGGGAUCUUGGAGAUCCUUAUGUUUCAAGAUCUUCAACCCUGAGGAUCCUCGUGUUCCAGGAUCUUCAACCUUGAGGAUCCUCAUGUUUGAGGAUCAUUUCUUAAGGAGAUCCUUAGUUGUAUGUUGUUCUGCAUAGCAAACAUUAGCUAGGGGUGGUCAUUAGUCUAGCUAACACCCCUACGAUGCUUAAGUUAGUAAUGUAUUCGAGGAGAAAAUAAGCAAUGAUGAAAAGUUUAAGGUAAAGAACAUGUGCACCUUGGUUUUAUUAAAGAUCAAUCAACCAAAUUUGUAUAUAGUAUGCUUUGAGAUGUAUAACAUUCCAGGUCUUGGAAAAAUGUUUCCUUUGUGUGUUGCUAGCCAAUAUGAUCCUUUUUCCUGCUUUAGCAUCUAUGAGAUACGGUCCUUCCCACUUAGGAGCUAAUUUACCAACACUAGGAUCCUUGGUGUUUUGGAAUGUUUUCCUUAAUACAAAGUCUCCUAUUUGGAAUCUUAUGACUUUUACGCUCUUGUUGUAAGCCUUGGUGAUCCUUUGUUGAUGAAGAGCAAUGCUUAUCUUGGCAAGAUCUUUGAGUUCAUCAAAAGUUUCAAGAUCCUAGGCUAGGAUCCUGUCAUUGUUUUUAUUUUUAUUUUGGAGCAAGUAUCUUGUCUUCGGGAUCACUACUUCGGUAGGGAUCAUUGCUUUUGUCUCGAACACCAAGGAAUAAGGGGUCUGACCUGUUUCUAUUUUGGAAAUGGUCCUAUCUGCCCACAGGACGAAAGGAAGCUCUUCUGCCCAUCUUCCUUUCUUCUUAUCAAGCCUUUUCUUAAAAUUGUUUACUGUGAUCUUAUUUCUAUAUUCUACUUGACCAUUAGCUUGGGGAUGGACAGGAGUGGACAUUAUCAUUCUGAUUCCCUAACUCGUGCAAAACUCUCUUAUUCUUUUGCUUAUGAAUUAGGAUCCAUUGUCGCAUAUGAUUUCAACCGGGAUGUCGAACCUAGUCAAGAUAUUACGUUUAAUAAACGAGGCUACCUCUUUAUCUCUUACCUAAACGAAGGCUUCAACUUCGAUCCACUUGGAAAAGUAAUCAGUCAUCACCAACAUGAAGAGUUUUCCUCCUGGAGCCAUUGGUAAAUUUCCCACUAUAUCCAUUCCCCAUUUCAUGAAUGGCCAUGGAGAGAUAAUAGGAUAUAGAGGCUUUGCCGGUUGAUACAAGAUGUUGCUAUGUCUUUGGCAAGCAUCACACUUUUAAGCAUGUACAAAAGAAUCUCUCUUCAUGGUUGGCCAGUAGUAUCCUAAUCUCAAUGCCUUGGAGCAUAAGGAUUUCCCCCAGUGUGAUUGCCAUAGUCUCAUUCAUGUAUGUCCUUCAAGACUUCUGCAGCUUCAGAAUCUACCAGGCAUGUGAAAUAUGGACCUGCCAUAGAUUGUUUUUAUGGAAAUUACCUUGGAUUAUUACGAAUCUUGAGACUCUUUUUUUGAAUGCUCUUUCGCUUUUUUCCUCUGUUGGGAUUGUACCAUUUUAAAGAUAUUCCAUAUUGGGUUGGAGUCAUAAUCGAGGACUUCUUUGAGGAUCCUAUUCGUCGGGAUCACUUCGAGGAGGGAUUUGAGGAUCAGGAUCUUCGAUGGCUGCUACGCUUAUUGGUUGUUCAAGAUUAUCAGAUUUUUCGGAAAAGGCUUCUAUAGCUGGAGUUAUUAUGUGGGUUAUAGGGAUCUUCGUUUCUGGUGGGAUUCGUAGGGAGGAUCCUAAGUUGGCUAAUGUGUCUGCUUCUGUUUUUUCUUCUCAGGGAACUUCGGUUAGGUUAAAUGUUGGGAAUUAGAGUUGCGUCAUUGUGUUAUAUUUAAUAGUCUAUUUAUGUAAACGGGCUUGGGCUUUUCCACCUGUCUUUAUUUAAUAGGGUUAUAGUAUUCAAGGUGCAUACAUGCACCAUGCUUUCUGUAAUCUAGGAAAUAGUCUUGUAACCCUACACGCCUCUACAGUAACAAUUCUUCAUCGAGUUCUUUUGAGGCAUGACUUUGAAUCAUUAAGCACAUUUUGAUCCAUUCUUGUGUUCCUAUUUUCUUUUACCUGUUUAAAUCUUUCAAUCUUUAAAGAUUUAAUCUCAACAAUUGGUAUCAGAGUAGGAGACUAUUUAAUCUAUACACAUCUCUUCUGUUGAAAGAAGCUCUUUAGGGUUUCCGCUAUUAUUGGAUCUGGUUUCAGCUGUUAUCAUUGUUUGUUCAUCUGUUGAUGAUGAUUUUGAUCUUAAUAUUACCCUAAUAUUGUUUACACAUUUGAUUCAUACAGGUUUUGAUCCAUAUACAAACUGUUGAGAGUUAUACACAUAUGUUUACACAUUGCAUUUCACCCGAACAAUUUAUGGAUAAUUUAUGAGAGUUAUACACAUAUGUUUAUUAAUAUAUUAUAAGUUAUAAUAUAUUAAUAUGAGGUUAUGUUAUUUAAUUAGUCUUAGUCUUAAAUUAAUGAUGAAUUAAUUUAGAGAUUAAAAGGAAGACUAAUUAGAUUAUGGGCUAUUGGUUUUAUAUGGUGUGGGCUAACACUCAUUUGUUAAUGGGCUAGGCUUGGAGGGAAGUCCAUGGAUGAUCCAUGGAGCUUUUAACCCAUGGAUCCUUGGAAAAGGAAAGGUCAUGGGUUAUUAGGGUUUCACCCUAACCAUGUACACUAUAUAAGCAUGCUUAUGAUGCAUGAAAUGGCAACUAGUGAACUAGUGUGUGUGCUUGUGUGUGGCCGAAAAUAUAAGUGUGUGUACACUGUCUCAAAGUUUUCCAAGAGUUUGUGGUGAUUUGUGAUUCCAUUUGAGGCAUUCACACUAUUGGUGCUUGGCCUUCAAACUCCUUAAGAAUCAAACUCAUCAAAAAGGUAUGUAAUCUCUUCUAACUCUUUUAUGUUGAAAUGUUCCCCAUGCCAUGUUAGAUAGGUUAUGAACCUUGGAAAAUUAUUAUUUUGCAUGUAUUUAGACAAACAUAGAUCCAAGGUUUAUUAGGGUUGCAUGCACACUUAGGAAGUGUUAGAUUGCUCAAAACCCAACAGUGGUAUCAGAGCCUAGGCUUGCUUGUUUGAUACUUGAUGCAAAAUAGUGGAAAAAGUCGAAAACGUUGCUGUCUGCAUGCUAGACUCGCCGAGUCCAUUGGGGGGACUCGCCGAGUCCAAGGCAAACUUCAACCUACUCGACGAGUCCGUUCGUGCACUCGGCGAGUAGGAUCGAAAGAAUGCAGAAUCUCGACUUUUGCUGCUGGAAAUGGACUGGAAACAUUACCCUAAAUUGUUUUGGUGUUGUAAAACUUAUUUUAGUUGGUGUAAUGGUUGUUCUAAUCCAUUUACAAUAGCAUAUAUCAAAAAUCCAUGAUUUUAUGUGUUCAUAUAAUUCUUGAAUUUUUGAUGAUCAUGUUCAUGUUCUUAUGAAUUUAGAAAAUGAUAGGAAUUAUUUGCUGAAUUGUUUAGAAUUAAUUCUUAAUCAUUUAUGUGUUUUAAUGGAGUCCAUAAUUUGUCCUCAAGUUAUGGAUUACCAAAGGUCACUUUCAUUUAACACACACUUAAAACACAUAAGUUACAUGAAAAUGAAGAGUCUUCAUUUUUAUGAACCUUUAAUUCAUAAGUUAUGAAAUGAAGAGUUUUGCAAAGUUACAAAACUUGUCCUCAAGUUUUGGAAUUUGUAAAGUUUCACACACUUUAAUAAACUUUAAUUCCAAACCUUAGAGUUUUAAUAGUUAAAAUUCAACCCUUAUACUAUUUAUAACAUUAAUGGUUAAUUAUUAUAUAUAUGUAUAAGAAUAAGUCGUUUUACCGUUAGUAGGCCUCAUUCACGAAGCCGGUCUAUAAGGUGGGUAUAAGGUUGUUGCCUAUAAAAUGGCGACUUAAUGGGUGUAUACUCUCACCCACCGCUUGCUUGAUCGGUGGAGGGUCGUUAGCCGAACGGGUAGAACAACGACUUUAAAUCCUCAUUAAAAGUAUAAUGAAUAUUAUAAAAUAACUAAACUCUUUUAAUUCCCAAUCUUAGUUAUUUUAGGAAAAUGUGAACAUGGUGCUAAUCCAUGGAAUUCACACUUUGUACCUUACCAAGUCGUUAGUGGAGCGUGUGUGGUUAACCGGCACACUAAUUAGACUAGUAAGGAUCACGAAGGGUAACUUAAUGUUGUCAUAGAUCAAUGGAGCGUGUGUGGUUAACCGGCACAUUGAUUAGGUGAUAAUAUUAGGAGUACCAAGUGAGUUAGCAUGGUUAUUCACACCUUGUUUUGUGAUCCUCGGCAUCCCAGUCACAAAACUUGAAGGGCACAAUCGAGAUUGAAACAUGCCAUUGAAAAGUUCAAUGAAUCUCAAAAGAAUCUAGGAAUUUCAAAUCCAAUUAAACCUAAUUAAUCAUUUCGUUUUCAUGGUGGAAAUUGGUGAAUCGUCAUUCGCCUACCUUUCAAAUAUAUUAUUACUUAGAUUACGGCAUCCCUCUUCUAAGUGUAAUAUAUUGUGAUUGGAUCCUAGCCUUAAUAUUACAUUUGGGUGUCUUAUUAAGGAUCCUAAAUAUCUAAUCUAAACUUACUUUCUUCUUUCAGAUGUCUUCCAACACUAAUGCUUCAGGCUCUAACCCAACUGGUUCUUUCUCUCUCAUGAAUCUUUGUGGGAGGGUCAUCUUUGAUGGUUCCAACUUCAUGGAUUGGAUUAGGAACAUCAGGAUGGUUACUCGUUACGAGGACAAGGAAUAUGUCCUCGAUAAGGAGUUAAAAGAACUUGAUGAGUCUACUGCUACUCCUGAGGAGAUCGCUGAAUUCAGGACUCAUGAGAGAGAUGCUACUAAGGUGGCAUGUAUCAUGAUGGCCACGAUGACAGCCGAGCUCCAAAAGUCAUAUGAAGAUUUCUACCCUUUUGAGAUGCACCAAGACUUGAUGGAAAGGUACCAUCAGAGUGCUCGUCAGGAGCGGUAUGAAAUAAUCUCCUCCAUAAUAACUACCCGCAUGAAGGACGGUGAAUCCGUCACGGGCCACAUGCAAAAGAUGCAAAGGUAUGUGGACCGUUUGCUGAAGCUGAAUGUUAACAUCCCCGAGGAGUUAGCAAUUGACAUCAUUUUGCACUCCUUGCCUUCUUGUUAUGAUCAUUUUCGAAUGACAUAUCAUAUGAACAAGGAGGAAGUUACCCUCAGCAAGCUUCAAGNUUGAUGAAGCUAAAUGUGAACAUCCCUGAGGAGUUGGCAAUUGACAUCAUUUUGCACUCCUUACCUUCUUGUUAUGACCAAUUUCGUAUGACAUUUCAUAUGAAUAAGGAGGAAGUUACCUUCAACAAGCUUCAAGGACUCUUGAAGACCGCGGAAACCGGUCUUAAGGGCAAGGCAGUUGUUACCUCUACUACUCCUACUCCAACAUCUACCCCUGUUUUGGCUAUCGGGCAAGGCAAAGGGAAAAAGAGGAAGCACCCUUCGAAGGGUACCAAGGGAAAGUCUCUUGAAGGCUCCUCAUCCAAGACUAAGAACGGUUCUGUCACUCCUUCUGCCAUUCCAAAGGAUGCUGAAUGCUUUUAUUGCCAUGAAAAGGCACACUGGAAGCGAAACUGCCCUAAGUACUUGCAGGAUCUAAAGGAUGGGAAAGUGAAACCCACCUAUGCAGGUAUUUACACUAUAUUGUCUAAUUACUCAACAUAUUCUAACUCUUGGGUGCUUGAUACAGGAUGUGGUAUUCACAUAUGUUCUGAUUUGCAGGGCCUAAGAAGAAGUGAGGAUGUGGAGCACGGGAAGAUAAACUUAAUCAUGGGGAAUAGGAAGGCUUCACCUGUUUCCAAGAUUGGAGUUUAUACUUUGUUGCUUAAUAAUGGGUUAAAAUUAGAUUUGAAUAAAUGUGUAUACUCGUCUGAAAUGGCGAGGAAUAUUAUUUCUUUUCAUGCUUUGUACAAACAAGGUUUUACCUUUUCGUUUGAUAAUGAAUGUGGUGGUAUUAAUGCUUUCUUUAAUAAUGUGUUUUAUUUUAAAGCAUUACCUUGUGAUGGCGUGUAUGAAACUGUGUCGAUUGUAGACAACUUAGGAAAUAAUGUGUUGUAUAUUGAUUCUUCUACUAGCCUAGAUAAAGCAUCAUUGUGGCAUUGUCGUCUUGGACAUGUAAACAAGAAACGCAUAGACCAACUCCAAAAGAGUGGAGUCUUGGAAUCAUUUGACCUCAAAUCAGAUGAUAGUUGUGAAUCUUGUCUACUUGGAAAAAUGACAAAAUCACCCUUCACUGGAACUUGUGAGAGGGGUGAAGGUUUGUUGGACCUAAUACAUACUGAUGUAUGUGGGCCAUUCAAAACCGCCACAAGGGACGCUAAUCGGUAUUAUGUGACUUUUAUUGAUGAUUAUAGUAGAUAUGGGUAUGUCUACUUGAUCAAACACAAGUCCGAAACCUUUGAAAGGUUUAAGGAAUUCAAACAGGAAGUAGAAAAUCAAUUGGGCAGGAACAUUAAGAUGCUUCGAUCCGAUCGAGGUGGUGAGUAUCUUAGUACCGAGUUCCUUGACUAUCUUAAGGAGUGUGGGAUUGUCUCACAAUUGACUCCUCCCAGGACACCACAGCUGAAUGGUGUAGCUGAGAGGCGUAAUCGUACCUUGUUGGACAUGGUUCGCUCUAUGAUGAGUCGAGUUUCGUUACCAAUCUCUUUUUGGGGGUAUGCCUUAGAGACUGCCGCCCAUAUCCUUAAUCUAGUCCCUACAAAGAAGGUUACCAAAACACCUCAUGAGAUGUGGACUGGGAAGGUUCCCAAUUUGGACCACAUCAAAAUUUGGGGUUGCGAAGCCUUCGUGAGGCGUGAAACUCAUGAUAAGCUUGAACCCCGAAGUGAAAGGUGUAUUUUCAUCGGCUACCCACAGAAAUCCUUCGGUUACCUUUUCUACAGACCCAGUGAGAAUGUGGUCUUUGUAGCACGAAGAGGGAUCUUUCGCGAGAAAGAAUUUAUAAGCCAAGGAGACAGUGGGAGGCAGAUUGAUCUUGAAGAAAUUCAAGAAUCAAUUGGUGAAGGAACCUCAGACACUAGCAAUCAACCUGAGGAAGAAACUCCUGUUGAUCCAGCUGACGAGUCUGUACCUCCGAGACGUUCCACACGGGUUAGGAACACACCUUCGUUUUAUUAUGGUUUUCAUAUUACUACGGAAGGUGAUACGUUUAUUAGUGAUAGUACACUAGUAAAUUUGGAUGAACCUAGCAGUGUUAAGGAAGCCAUGGCAGGCCCGGAGUCUGCUAAAUGGAAGGAGGCUAUGGACAGCGAGAUACAGUCCAUGUAUGACAAUCAAGUUUGGAACUUGGUUGACAAUGUACCAGGCCGUAAAACAGUCGGGUGCAAAUGGAUCUUCAAAAAGAAGACCGACAUGGAAGGAAAAGUGCAUACUUAUAAGGCUCGACUGGUUGCGAAGGGUUUUACUCAAACUCAAGGUAUUGAUUAUGAUGAAACCUUCUCGCCGGUGGCCAAGAUUAAGUCUAUUAGGGUUAUGUUAGCCAUUGCAGCAUUUCAUGAUUAUGAAAUAUGGCAAAUGGAUGUCAAAACCGCUUUCCUUAAUGGAAAGUUGGCUGAGGAUGUGUACAUGAAUCAGCCAGAGGGUUUUGUCAAUGCAGAGUACCCUAAUAGAGUAUGCAAGCUUAAGAAAUCCAUUUAUGGAUUAAAACAAGCAUCUCGUAGCUGGAAUCUUUGUUUUGAUGAGAAGGUAAAAGAGUUUGGCUUCUUGAGAAGCGAAGAUGAGUCUUGCGUGUAUGUCAGAGCUAGUGGGAGUAUAGUUAGCUUCUUGGUACUGUAUGUGGAUGACAUACUACUCAUAGGAAAUGACAUCCCAACCUUGCAGGAGGUUAAGUCCUGGCUUGGGAAGUGCUUUGCUAUGAAGGACCUAGGGGAGGCUACCUAUAUCCUAGGGAUAAGGAUAUUAAGAGAAAGGAGUAGAAGACUAAUUGGACUUAGUCAGAGUAUCUACUUGGAUAAGGUGUUGAAAAGGUUCAACAUGGAGAAUUCCAAGAAAGGAGAUUUACCGAUCCAAAGCAAUACCAAACUGAGUAAGACUCAGAGUCCGAGUACAGAGGCUGAGAUAGCUGAGAUGAGCCAAUUACCAUAUGCUUCCGCAGUUGGCUCGAUCAUGUAUGCUAUGACUUGUACCCGUCCUGAUGUGGCAUUUGCUUUGAGCAUGGUCAGCAGGUAUCAGGGGAACCCUGGCAAGGCUCAUUGGACCGCGGUAAAGAACAUUCUCAAGUACCAGCAGAGGACUAAGGAUUGGAUCCAUACUCUUGGUGGGAGUGAUGACUUGAGAGUAUUAGGGUAUAGUGAUGCUGGUUUUUAGACUGAUAGGGAUAACUUCCGCUCUCAGUCGGGCUGGGUCUUUACCUUAAAUGGAGAGGAAAUUUCUUGGAAGAGUUCCAAGCAGGAGACGAUGGCUGAUUCGACUUGUGAAUCAGAGUAUAUAGCAGCGAGUGAAGCAGCGAAGGAGGCGAUAUGGCUAAAGAACUUCAUCGGAGACCUUGGAGUUGUACCAGCUAUUAAGGAACCUAUAGAAAUUUUCUGUGACAACAAUGCUGCGGUUAUCUUAGCCAAGGAACCAAGAGAUCAUGGCAGAUCCCGACACAUUGACAGAAAAUAUCACUUUAUAAGACACAAGAUUGAAGAGGGACUCCUCGUGACAAGGAGAAUAUUGUCGGAUGAGAAUCCUGCACAUCCCCUUACGAAGGGACUGACGAGGGUUAAGCAUUUUCAGCAUGCGAGGCGCAUCGGGCUGAGGGACGAUAUUAGUUUUACAGAUUAGAUAGUUUUCCUGAAACUUGUAAAAUGUAAUCGACGUUUGAUGAUGAAUAAAAUUUGUGAUUUAUUUAUGAGUAAAGUGUUACUAUCAUUGUCAAUUAUUUACUAUUGUUUCAGUUUGUGCAUGUUUUGACUUCUAGAAUAAUUAAUUUAUUCAAACCUCCACAAUCGGUCAUACCUUGGAAGUAGGUAUGAAUCAAGAUUGUCAUGAAUUGAGUUUGUAGAUGGCUAAAGGUGUUUAGAGAUGGCAAUGGUUGUUGCAACAUUCAUGAGUACUCAUAAGCUAUGAGUAUUGGUAUAAACCCACGCUCACUUGUAUCACUUCAUGGAAUUUAUCUCGAGUGAUCGUGAGAUGAUAAUAUCAUAUAAGUCUUCAAACCUAGAGAUAUGAGUUGUUACCUAUGAGUUGGUUGUGCAUUGAUUGCACGUAAACGCAUCAGUAACUUGAUGUUAUAAAACGUGCCUUUGUGUACAAUUCAACAAGUAGUAGAACAAGCAUAUGAGUCGAAGUUUAUCUAUUCCUUCUAGAAAUAGAAGCGAUAUCUGGGCCCCUCGAUGAUUU